AAUAUAAUGCACAUAAUAAACCUUCACUCUUGUUUCAGAUGACCUCAAAGAUCCCCAUCCCCAUUCACUUAGAGAAUACAUCCGUACCAUGAACACCAGAGUCAUUCUCCAGGGCUCAUGCCUCUAGGGCCGGAUCCUUAAAUUGAAAUUCUUUUAUGCUGGAGCGGGGAGCCUGCUGGGAAUGAACAAGAGAAGGCGAAAGAGUGGGAGGCUGCAGGAGGCAGGGCCAUCCCAAGAGCCUGGACCCUGAGGGCUCCAGUGUGAGGAUUCCUUUUGGCUUCUUUCCUCUCUGGUCGCUGCUUCUGCUUGGAGUUGCCUGGCAAGCACUGUGGCAGAAUGUGUGGCAAGUUCCUGAGGCAGCUGUUGGCUAAGGAGAGCCGGCAUUCCACCCCCGUGGGGCGCUUCCUACUUCCGGUGCUCAUGGGAUUCCGCCUCCUGCUUCUGGUUUCCAGUGGACCUGGUGUCUUCGGUGAUGAAGAGAACGAAUUCAUGUGUCAUUUAGGGCAGCCAGGCUGCAAGACCACUUGCUAUGACAUCUUCCGCCCCCUUUCUCCAUUGCGCUUCUGGGCCUUCCAAGUCAUCCUGAUGGCUGUACCCAGUGUCCUUUACAUGGGUUUCACUCUGUAUCAUGUGAUUGGAUACUGGGAGGAACCAGAAAAAGAAAAUAAGGGACAAGAGACACGGAUUUGCAAGGGGGACCAUAGCAAGGAUGUCUCAGGGGCUGGAAGCCUCAAGCUUCUCUGGGCCUAUGUGGCACAGCUUGGGGCGAGGCUGGUCCUUGAGGGAGCAGCCUUGGGAGUUCAGUACCACCUGUAUGGCUUCAAGAUGCCCAGCACUUUUAUAUGUCGUGAGGAUCCUUGCAUCGGUAGCACGACCUGUUUCCAGUCCCACCCCUCUGAGAAGACCAUUCUCCUCAAUACCAUGUUUGGAAUCAGUGGGACCUGUCUCUUGUUCACUUCCUUGGAGCUUAUGCUUUUGGGUUUAGGGAGGUUUUGGAGGAUGUACAAGCACAAACUUUCCUUUUUAAAGAACUUGCAAACCUCAAAGAGCUCCAUAAGACGCAAGGACCCAGCUGAUGACUUGUCGGUGGUGGAGACAAAAGAGCCAUUUUGAGAAGCAGGUGAGGACCCUACUGAUACUGACAGUCAUCUGUCCCUGCCUCUGAUGUCUCUGUGUUGGCGACCUCCACCCAUGAGUUCUAAAGUUACCUGGCUUGCUUGCAGAAAACCUUUGCGACUGGAUCUUCUUCCACGCAUCCAGUGAGAUGACUGGUGAGACGGUACAGUGGGUAAAGGUGCUUGCCACCAAGCCUCAUGAUCUGAAAUCCAUCUCCAGAACCCACAUGGAGAAGGGAGAAAACCAACUCCCACAAGAUGUCCUCUGACCUCCACAUAUGUGCCACAGCACAUACACACAUGAUAAUAAAAUAAUAAAAUCUCAGAAAACAAAACAAAAACUCUUGCAUCAAUUAGCUAUUACUUCUAACUUCUUAUCUCUCUUGUCUUUCCACUAAAUGUAAGCAACCACUUUCUGUUUUAAUGGGUUAUCAUAGUCUGGGAUUUUAUAGAGAUGGAAUCAUGCAACAUGCUUAUUGGUCACUUGUAUAUCUUUGUAGAAAAGACCAAAUUCUUCUUUGCCAAUUAAAAUCAGUUUUUUGUUUUGUUUUGCAUUGUAAGAACUUUUUAUAUAACAUGAUUAUUAGAUAAUUAUCAGAUGAGUCAUUUCAAAAUAUUCUCUUCCAUUCUAUGGUUGUCUUUCAUUUUUUUUUCUGAGUAGUAUUCUUUUAAAAUUAUUUAUUCUUUGAUACUUUCAUACAUGUAUUCGGUGUAUUUUGAUCACGUCUACCCUCACAUCCCUAUCUAACUCUUCCUGGAUCCCCCAUCAUGUCCCCAUCCUGAUUUCAUGUCCUCUUUUUUCUCUAUAAUUCACUGAGUACAAAAUUAGUGCUACUCAAAUGGGCAUGGGUGUCAAGCCACCUAACAGAACAUGGUCAGCCUACCUGAUGCCACAUCCCUGAAGAACAUGGACUCUUCCUCCACCAUCGUCUAUCAACUGCUAACAGUUUCUCAGCUGUGGAUAGUCCACCAGCCAUCCAUGCUGGAAUGAUGAGUGCUAUAAGCCUGUGUAGACAACAACUGCUUCUGUGAGCUCCUGAGUGCAGCAUCUCUGCUGUGUUAAGAAGACAUGGUUUCGAAGCAGACCCCCCAGAGCUCUGGCUCUUUAAACCUUACUUCCCCUCUUCUCUGAUGUCAUCUGAGCUUUGGGGCCAAGGGUGUGAUACAGAUGUCUCAUUUGUGGCUGAGUACUCCACAGACACUUGUUCUCUGCGUUUUAACAAAAUGUGAGUCUGAGUAUCAGACACUGUCAACUGCAAGAAGAAAUUUCUCUGGUGGGCAAUGAGAGUUGACCUAAUCUAUGGGUAUAGGGAAUUAUUUAGAAGACAGUUUGAUACUAUGUCAAUGUAGCAAACUAAUAGUAACAGGCUUUUCUUCCCCAGAAUGGUUUCUUGGCUGGAUUUAUAGUACCGGGCAUGAGUUUCCUCCUGUGGAGUGGAUCUUCAAUCCAAUCAGAAAGCAGUUUGUUACUCCCAUAACACUUACACCACUGUUGCACCCUCGGGUGUGUCUUGUGAGGCUGGUUGUUGUAACUCACAGGAUUUAUACAUGAGUAAGACUGUUGAUUACGAGGAAAACUAGCCAGCAGGGACUUGACAGUAUUCUUUGAUGCACAAAAGCUUUCCAUUUUGAUGAAGUCAAAUUACUCAUUUUUUGUGAUUUUGGUGCUACAUUUAAGAGGCCAUUGUUUGACCCAAAGCUACUAAUGUACACCUGUGUUUCCAUCUAAGAGUUUUAUACUUUUAACUUCUACAUUUAUGUCUCUGAUCACUUAUGAGUUAUUUUUUUACAGUGAGAAAAAAGACAAAGAUGAAAAUAUAUUUCUUAUUGGAAAUAAUGUAAAUGAGCAAAAUCUUUGAGGUAUAAAAAUGAAAAAAAAAUCCUGUUAGAAUCCUACCAUUGGCAGAAAUAACUCUCCAAAGCAAAGGCAAAAUAAAGGCAUUUGUGAGUUAAAAACAAAAGCUAAAUAAAAGUUUACAGCUGACCAAUA
Molecule: RNA transcript, 3105 nt
Organism: Peromyscus californicus insignis
Lineage: Eukaryota; Metazoa; Chordata; Mammalia; Rodentia; Cricetidae
Gene: Gjc3
Gene name: gap junction protein gamma 3
Exons: 3
Source: RefSeq, a predicted model, not a curated record